Molecule: ribosomal RNA, 2526 nt
Filed under: Escherichia coli
Lineage: Bacteria; Pseudomonadati; Pseudomonadota; Gammaproteobacteria; Enterobacterales; Enterobacteriaceae
Description: partial 23S ribosomal RNA
Rfam family: Bacterial large subunit ribosomal RNA
Source: RNAcentral
GGGACACGUGGUAUCCUGUCUGAAUAUGGGGGGACCAUCCUCCAAGGCUAAAUACUCCUGACUGACCGAUAGUGAACCAGUACCGUGAGGGAAAGGCGAAAAGAACCCCGGCGAGGGGAGUGAAAAAGAACCUGAAACCGUGUACGUACAAGCAGUGGGAGCCUCUUAAUGGGGUGACUGCGUACCUUUUGUAUAAUGGGUCAGCGACUUAUAUUCUGUAGCAAGGUUAACCGAAUAGGGGAGCCGAAGGGAAACCGAGUCUUAACUGGGCGUUAAGUUGCAGGGUAUAGACCCGAAACCCGGUGAUCUAGCCAUGGGCAGGUUGAAGGUUGGGUAACACUAACUGGAGGACCGAACCGACUAAUGUUGAAAAAUUAGCGGAUGACUUGUGGCUGGGGGUGAAAGGCCAAUCAAACCGGGAGAUAGCUGGUUCUCCCCGAAAGCUAUUUAGGUAGCGCCUCGUGAAUUCAUCUCCGGGGGUAGAGCACUGUUUCGGCAAGGGGGUCAUCCCGACUUACCAACCCGAUGCAAACUGCGAAUACCGGAGAAUGUUAUCACGGGAGACACACGGCGGGUGCUAACGUCCGUCGUGAAGAGGGAAACAACCCAGACCGCCAGCUAAGGUCCCAAAGUCAUGGUUAAGUGGGAAACGAUGUGGGAAGGCCCAGACAGCCAGGAUGUUGGCUUAGAAGCAGCCAUCAUUUAAAGAAAGCGUAAUAGCUCACUGGUCGAGUCGGCCUGCGCGGAAGAUGUAACGGGGCUAAACCAUGCACCGAAGCUGCGGCAGCGACACUAUGUGUUGUUGGGUAGGGGAGCGUUCUGUAAGCCUGUGAAGGUGGCCUGUGAGGGUUGCUGGAGGUAUCAGAAGUGCGAAUGCUGACAUAAGUAACGAUAAAGCGGGUGAAAAGCCCGCUCGCCGGAAGACCAAGGGUUCCUGUCCAACGUUAAUCGGGGCAGGGUGAGUCGACCCCUAAGGCGAGGCCGAAAGGCGUAGUCGAUGGGAAACAGGUUAAUAUUCCUGUACUUGGUGUUACUGCGAAGGGGGGACGGAGAAGGCUAUGUUGGCCGGGCGACGGUUGUCCCGGUUUAAGCGUGUAGGCUGGUUUUCCAGGCAAAUCCGGAAAACCAAGGCUGAGGCGUGAUGACGAGGCACUACGGUGCUGAAGCGACAAAUGCCCUGCUUCCAGGAAAAGCCUCUAAGCAUCAGGUAACAUCAAAUCGUACCCCAAACCGACACAGGUGGUCAGGUAGAGAAUACCAAGGCGCUUGAGAGAACUCGGGUGAAGGAACUAGGCAAAAUGGUGCCGUAACUUCGGGAGAAGGCACGCUGAUAUGUAGGUGAAGCGACUUGCUCGUGGAGCUGAAAUCAGUCGAAGAUACCAGCUGGCUGCAACUGUUUAUUAAAAACACAGCACUGUGCAAACACGAAAGUGGACGUAUACGGUGUGACGCCUGCCCGGUGCCGGAAGGUUAAUUGAUGGGGUUAGCGGUAACGCGAAGCUCUUGAUCGAAGCCCCGGUAAACGGCGGCCGUAACUAUAACGGUCCUAAGGUAGCGAAAUUCCUUGUCGGGUAAGUUCCGACCUGCACGAAUGGCGUAAUGAUGGCCAGGCUGUCUCCACCCGAGACUCAGUGAAAUUGAACUCGCUGUGAAGAUGCAGUGUACCCGCGGCAAGACGGAAAGACCCCGUGAACCUUUACUAUAGCUUGACACUGAACAUUGAGCCUUGAUGUGUAGGAUAGGUGGGAGGCUUUGAAGUGUGGACGCCAGUCUGCAUGGAGCCGACCUUGAAAUACCACCCUUUAAUGUUUGAUGUUCUAACGUUGGCCCCUAAUCGGGGUUGCGGACAGUGUCUGGUGGGUAGUUUGACUGGGGCGGUCUCCUCCUAAAGAGUAACGGAGGAGCACGAAGGUUGGCUAAUCCUGGUCGGACAUCAGGAGGUUAGUGCAAUGGCAUAAGCCAGCUUGACUGCGAGCGUGACGGCGCGAGCAGGUGCGAAAGCAGGUCAUAGUGAUCCGGUGGUUCUGAAUGGAAGGGCCAUCGCUCAACGGAUAAAAGGUACUCCGGGGAUAACAGGCUGAUACCGCCCAAGAGUUCAUAUCGACGGCGGUGUUUGGCACCUCGAUGUCGGCUCAUCACAUCCUGGGGCUGAAGUAGGUCCCAAGGGUAUGGCUGUUCGCCAUUUAAAGUGGUACGCGAGCUGGGUUUAGAACGUCGUGAGACAGUUCGGUCCCUAUCUGCCGUGGGCGCUGGAGAACUGAGGGGGGCUGCUCCUAGUACGAGAGGACCGGAGUGGACGCAUCACUGGUGUUCGGGUUGUCAUGCCAAUGGCACUGCCCGGUAGCUAAAUGCGGAAGAGAUAAGUGCUGAAAGCAUCUAAGCACGAAACUUGCCCCGAGAUGAGUUCUCCCUGACUCCUUGAGAGUCCUGAAGGAACGUUGAAGACGACGACGUUGAUAGGCCGGGUGUGUAAGCGCAGCGAUGCGUUGAGCUAACCGGUACUAAUGAACCGUGAGGCUUAACCUU